CAAUUACUGAAUUGGUGGUUUGCCAGUGGGACACAGACCACAGUGCCUCAAAGCUAUAGGAAUUCAAUGCUACAUUAUUUGAUAAUGUGCUCUGAGGUGGAAAUCUUCAAUUGCCCUCAAUCCCAAAUUUCUUCUAGGAUGUCUUCCGGUACGACAAAGCCUGCAAGCUAAACAAGUCAGAAUAAUAUGUUUGCCAUUCAAUGACGAAUUACCGUUGAAACACUGAGAAGGUUGGAGAAAGCCCCCAGGACUGCUGAGGAGGAGUCCAGAGCCCGGGGAGCAGGGGCAGGGGCUUGGGCUCAGGCAGUAAGCAGCAGCGGGACCUCAGGCAUCUUGGAGUCCCCAAUAGCUAGGAGCCACUGCGUGACUUUGCCCUGCCCUG
This 382-nucleotide long non-coding RNA is filed under the name Equus asinus (donkey). RNAcentral's name for it is "lncRNA (ENSEASG00005032690.1)". Lineage: Eukaryota; Metazoa; Chordata; Mammalia; Perissodactyla; Equidae. The record is from RNAcentral.